This 300-nucleotide ribosomal RNA is filed under the name uncultured Puniceicoccaceae bacterium. RNAcentral describes it as "bacterial SSU rRNA". It matches the Rfam family "Bacterial small subunit ribosomal RNA", at positions 115 to 412 of the family's 1533-position model. Lineage: Bacteria; Pseudomonadati; Verrucomicrobiota; Opitutia; Puniceicoccales; Puniceicoccaceae. The record is from RNAcentral.
ACGUGAGCAACCUGCCCUUGAGUAUGGAAUAGCUCGCCGAAAGGCGAAUUAAUACUGUAUGUGACCCUCCAUCGCAUGAUGGAGUGGUUAAAGCUUGUAAUGGCGCUCAAGGAUGGGCUCGCGGCCUAUCAGCUUGUUGGUGAGGUAAAGGCUCACCAAGGCUAAGACGGGUAGCUGGUCUGAGAGGAUGAUCAGCCACACCGGGACUGAGACACGGCCCGGACACCUACGGGUGGCAGCAGUUUCGAAUCAUUCACAAUGGGCGAAAGCCUGAUGAUGCAAUGCCGCGUGGAGGAUGAA